UGGGAUAUUGAUAAUUUCUGUAUAUAAUAAUCUUCGGGAUAUAGGCUUUCUAGAAAUGUUUUUCUUUUUUUCAUAUAUUCUAUACUUUUUUGUUAAUAUGACGUUGAAUAUUGUGGUAUUUAAUGUUAAAAAAUUAACAUUUCGGGAAACACGUCACAACAAUAAACCUCCAAUGACCAUGUACAAUGUACAUGAACCUAUAAAUCUUUGAAUAUAUCAAGUUAUAUGCACUCAAAUAGCUAGAAUGGCUUAUUCAAUGAUCAUAAUAAGCAUUUUUGACCAAAUUUGGGAAAUAGAAAUAAGAAAUAUUUUGGAAAUGAUGUUCAAAGCCGUGAUUGUUCAACUUUACUUUUAAAUUAUUUUUACUUGAAUUUUGAAAUACUGAAAUAAGAAGAAUAAAUAUAGUAUGUAGUCUAUUUACAUAGUGAAAGAAGUGAAUCAAUGGAACAAUUCUGUUUCAUAUCAUAUUCCAUAGUUUCUUUUUAAUUUUUUUUUAUUUGGUUUUUUUUUUUCAGUAUUAAAACGACCGAGUAUCGAUAUCAAUGGUAACGAAAUAAGUUGACACCGCGUCUCGUCAAAACAUGUUUAAUUCGAAUUUACUCAAAAUUACACGUUCAACGAGCAUUUUCUGUGAAACCUGAUUAAAGGAAAAUUAUUGUAGACACCUAAUAGUGAUUUGUACAGAAGCGAGCCCUGGCAGGAAUGAUGGCCUCUUUUGAAAUGAAGAUUUCAUGCCUUACUCCUACUGGGACUACAACUAACUUUGGACUUGGUCACUCGUAGAUACAACAUGAAGUUGUGCCCUCUUGAUGUACAUGAGAAUGGGAGUGAUACAGAAGGGGGACUAAUUGGAAGAACUGCUGCUGGUGGUGGUGGUGCUGGACUGUCUUGAAUCUAUGGCCUAACCGACUUGAUAUUCUUCUGUUUAAUAUGGGAGCAACACACACACUCUGGCAUCUAUUGCACAGAAAAUUAUGAUCAGAUGGUGCCCUCCCUAUCAGAGUGGUGAUCACUGUCCUAUAUUUCUUUGAAAUCAUGGAUCUGUGUUUUGGUUUUACUCUCCAUGGACAAUUGAAACAGAGAAAGAAUUUGGGACCACUCCUUGGCAUAUCUGAAAUAUUUAUGUCAUAUACAUGUAAAUGAAAUUAUACAAUUUGGGUUGGAUGAAAAUCUUAUCUUCAUGUUAGAACCCAUUAGCCUAAGUUAUUUUUCCUAAAAUCUAAUUAUAAAUCAAUUAACUUGUUAAUAAAUGCUUGGUGAAUCAAUUAAUAAAUUGUAUUCAAAAACUUGGAAUUAUUUUUUUUUCACUAAUAAACUGAAAAUGUGUAUCUU
Molecule: long non-coding RNA, 1332 nt
Organism: Ostrea edulis (European flat oyster)
Lineage: Eukaryota; Metazoa; Mollusca; Bivalvia; Ostreida; Ostreidae
Exons: 2
Source: RefSeq, a predicted model, not a curated record